GAGGAGCCGGGUUGAGGUCACUACUCUCAUCCACGUACCACAAGGAAGAUGAGGGAGAGAAAUUAUCCUACCAUUAAAGAGACUGUGCAAAGAAUGUUGAGAACAUCACCACUCUACAGGAAUACACAGUCCAGUAAUGUGUGUCAGAAGUUCAGUAGUGAACGACAGGUAGUACUGACGCAUUUACGGAGAUGGGACAUGAGGGCCUUGUCUGCGUGCUCAAGAGAAGAUUCCACAGAGUUCAAGCUGAGCAGGCUGCAGCAGGUUUGGAGGAAUCCUCCUCUGAAGAGGAAACAUGGCGAGGUACUUCUCCACUGAUGAAGAAAUUUCUUCUCAAGAGAAGCUGCCUCAGCUCCACGGUCCCUCCUGCAGCCUCCACUCCUGAUGCUAACCCCCGGUCUCCAUCACACCAUCCGGGCAAACCUGGAGUCACAGAACUUUGUCCA
Molecule: long non-coding RNA, 446 nt
Organism: Limanda limanda (common dab)
Lineage: Eukaryota; Metazoa; Chordata; Actinopteri; Pleuronectiformes; Pleuronectidae
Exons: 4
Source: RefSeq, a predicted model, not a curated record